Molecule: ribosomal RNA, 216 nt
Filed under: Triticum aestivum (bread wheat)
Lineage: Eukaryota; Viridiplantae; Streptophyta; Magnoliopsida; Poales; Poaceae
Description: partial small subunit ribosomal RNA
Source: RNAcentral
AUGGAAGGCCUGCUGCCGUUCCUGUACAGGGCCAUCGUCCUCCACUAUGCCGAAGGCGGCGGGUGGCGGACGGCCACCGGAGACAGCCCCUUCCUCGGCAGCGACUCGCCAUCUGCCUCUCGGCACUACUAUGUCCGCCUCGCCGGCAGCGCCGACGACUCUGGCCGCCUCCAGUUCGCCCCCUCUUCUCUUGCCAGCCGCAACGCGCUCCUGUGA